Molecule: ribosomal RNA, 454 nt
Filed under: uncultured bacterium
Lineage: Bacteria
Description: partial 16S ribosomal RNA
Rfam family: Bacterial small subunit ribosomal RNA
Source: RNAcentral
ACGGAAGGCAGCAGUGAGGAAUAUUGGUCAAUGGAGGCAACUCUGAACCAGCCAUCUCGCGUGAAGGAAUACGGCCCUACGGGUCUUAAACUUCUUUUAUAGGGGGAUAAAGUGAGGCAUGUAUGCCUUUUUGUAGGUACCCUAUGAAUAAGCAUCGGCUAACUCCGUGCCAGCAGCCGCGGUAAUACGGAGGAUGCGAGCGUUAUCCGGAUUUAUUGGGUUUAAAGGGUGCGUAGGCUGUGCGACAAGUCAGGGGUGAAAGCCCGCCGCCCAACGGUGGAACUGCCUUUGAUACUGUCGCGCUGGAAUACGGAUGCCGUGGGAGGAAUGAGUAGUGUAGCGGUGAAAUGCAUAGAUAUUACUCAGAACACCGAUUGCGAAGGCAUCUCACGAAUCCGUCAUUGACGCUGAGGCACGAAAGCGUGGGGAUCAAACAGGAUUAGAUACCCUGGUA